AGAGACAGCAGUAGCCAGGUAAUACGGAGGGAGCUAGCGUUGUUCGGAAUUACUGGGCGUAAAGCGCGCGUAGGCGGUUACUCAAGUCAGAGGUGAAAGCCCGGGGCUCAACCCCGGAACUGCCUUUGAAACUAGGUGACUAGAAUCUUGGAGAGGUCAGUGGAAUUCCGAGUGUAGGGGUGAAAUUCGUAGAUAUUCGGAAGAACACCAGUGGCGAAGGCGACUGACUGGACAAGUAUUGACGCUGAGGUGCGAAAGCGUGGGGAGCAAACAGGAUUAGAGACCCCUGUAGUCCCUGUCUCUUAUACA
RNAcentral lists this ribosomal RNA (309 nucleotides) under uncultured bacterium. Its description in RNAcentral is "partial 16S ribosomal RNA". It matches the Rfam family "Bacterial small subunit ribosomal RNA", at positions 504 to 808 of the family's 1533-position model. The record is from RNAcentral.